UUCACUUUUUUGAAAUCUUGAAUAAAAACUUUUUAAAUCUGUUCUUAUCAGCUUUUAUACGCGAUAUCAUGUGCUUCCAUGAGGACCAUACAUUAAAGUGAUUUUUGAAACAGGAGAUGGAAUAGGAAGCUUGCUCCAUCACUACCACGCAUCGACUGGUAUUGCAGUCCUCCAGGACGGUGCCCCUCCC
Small nuclear RNA from Chelonoidis abingdonii (Abingdon island giant tortoise), 190 nucleotides. Its record names the gene U2. It matches the Rfam family "U2 spliceosomal RNA". Rfam says of the family: U2 is a small nuclear RNA (snRNA) component of the spliceosome (involved in pre-mRNA splicing). Complementary binding between U2 snRNA (in an area lying towards the 5' end but 3' to hairpin I) and the branchpoint sequence (BPS) of the intron results the bulging out of an unpaired adenosine, on the BPS, which initiates a nucleophilic attack at the intronic 5' splice site, thus starting the first of two transesterification reactions that mediate splicing. Lineage: Eukaryota; Metazoa; Chordata; Testudines; Testudinidae. The record is from Ensembl.